AUGAAACCAAUGUUUGAUCCGAUAAAGUGUAUGAUCCUAUACUAGCUUAACUGUAAUUUGUUCAUUCUCUUUCUACCUUUUCUUUACACAUGAGUAACUGAUAAAUAUGUUUAGUCUUAUUAAAAGCUAGAAGAUCAAAUUAGAAAUAUUACUUGGGCAUUAAAAAUAUUGUUAGCUAGUGAGAUCUUAUGAAAUUAUUUUAUAUGUUUUUUAUGAAUUAACCUUUGGAUAUAUAGAGAUGUAUCAUUAGUUAGAUUAAAUUUAUGAAUUUUACUUGGGCAAAUUAUUUUUAUUAAAGAAUUUUAAAAUGAUUAAGAGAAAAAAUUUUGUUUUACUUUAAAGUUUUAUUUGAAGAUAAUAUAACAGUGUUACAUCUUAGUUUUGGGGUAUGACACCAUUAGUAGACAAGUCUUGACCAGAUUGGAUUACGUAUCAGCCAAUUUGUCAGGCAUUGCAACAGAUUUCAGGUAAUUGGAGAGUCUGCUAACAUGACAGGCUUGAGCUAGUUUAAUUUCUGCUUUUUGCUGUGAGAAAUAUUCCAAUUGAAGGAGGAAAGAUAGAUAAUUUGAUUAUGAACUGCGAAUCAUUUUUGUAGUAUAGUUAGACUCUGAAGUGAGGAGGUUAAGAUUACUCGCGAAACAUCCUUGAGAUGGAAACUUGGGAAGUGAGAGCAGCGACUCGUUUUGGUACUUUCAAAAAUAUGAUGCAUACUGAAGGAUGACAGAGUUAUCAUUCUUUCCUGCAUCAAUUUUGUCACGGUCCAAACUUAUUGUUCUGAAAAGCACUAGCCAAAGGCAAGACAUGGAUGCCGUGACUAUUCUCCUUUCCUACCAGGUCCUUAAGCGCCUUCUUCUUGAAAGUCCAGCUGCCAGUUCUCAGGUUGAAAUGGUAUAGAGGAAGAAAUCGUUGGCCAUAGAUGGCUACGAACUCCAACGCCGCAAGAAUGUAUUCAAACUCCUCAUUUGACAUGUAGUAAGGAAAGCUGACUCUUGUCCAUCCAGGUUUUGCUCCUAUGUAGCCCUGCAAUCAAACUUUGCAAUUGGCAUUAGAUAAGUUGAAUUAUAUUUUACUUCUCUUUCAUUUGGUCAAAAAAAAAAAAGGAAAAUUUUGUACUGAUACCCUUUUAAUAGCUUCUCUGAACGCAAGGGAUCGAGUCUGAUCAAUAUCAAGCAAACUGUGGCCAUAAGGUCCAGCACAAGCACACCCAUCUCGAUCUUGGAUGCCAAUCAGAUCAUUUAGGAUGGUUGCAACAAAAGGGCCAUGGAGAGGUUUAUCCCUCUUGUUCCCAGUCUCUCCCCACAUGAAAAGUCCCUUACCCUUUUCACCGCCCGUUCAACAUUGUUUAACCUCGUUGGUUGUGGAGUAGAUGAGGAAAAGACAUAUGGCUUGUCUCUGGGCUCGGUGCUUGAUUUCUAAACCCGUUAUGUUUUGGUUUGGAGAAAGCCUCAUCCAAUGCUUGAUUUAUGUCCAUACUUCUCCUGCUUUGGCAAUCACUCAUAACCAAUAUAUUCUUUUUACCCAAAAGUCAAUGCUGCUGCUAACAAUCUGAAUUAUUUGAGGAGUCCCUCCCAUUUUCCCCUUUCUUCUCAUGUCAUCUUACAUAUAUUGUGUCCUGCAAAAUACAUACCCCAUUUUACCACAUUUUAAAUUGCAUACCUGCUUCCCUAAAUGCUGGGGGAAUGAAUCUGAUAAUAUCAUGAUAACUUAUCAUUCUAUGUAGAAGUAUUUUUUAUGACACGUCGUGCCUUUAGGAAAUUUGGUUGGAAAAUCUCUUUUCUUCUUAAAAUUGUAAUUAAAAUAAAAAAAUUUUUUAGAGACACUUAUCAUUCACUAGUCUAUGUCUAAACCCGCUCCAUCUGAAUCAGGAAUUUAUUUCUAAACUCCAAAAAGCCUGACAGCUACCUAAUCAUUCUUUAUGUCGUCCAGUCGAAGAAAGAAACCAAAAUUUCUUACAAAAUGGGAUAUAUAAGCAAGAAUAAGAAAAAGGUAAAGAAAAUACAAAUUUCCAUUUUAUUGUAGAGAGGUGAACAAAAAAUAAAAUCUUUCAUCUAUUAAAUUGAAUUAAUCUGAACACAAAAAUAUAAUAAAAAUCUCUUCAUUUAUUAUCAAUUAAUUUUAAAUUUGAGUGUAAUUACCUGUUCAUUGAAGCCAUUGACAUAAUUAACAGUUCCACCUCCGCAAGUUGAUGGAGGAGAAGAUCCCAGCCGGUAGAGAGUCUUGCUCAUUAAAAGGAUGCCGGGCGUUCCAGGGCCACCUAGAAACUUAUGUGGGCUUAGGAAAAUGGCAUCAUAUCCAUCAAUCUCCCCUGACCUCAUAUCAAUCUCCACAUAAGGACCACUAUCCACAAAAACAAAAUGAUAAGCACUAUCAAAAAUCAACUUCUCAUUGCUUUAUAACAUUAACAUAAUACAUAAAACUUGGCUAAUAAUUAAUUGUGAGAUCUGUUAUUAAAAUAUUAAACUUUUAAUUUUAACAAUCAAAGAUUAAAUUCUGACAACCUCGAAUAUAAAAGCUUGACAACAAAAAAUGAAAAUUCUUACUGUGUACCUUGCUGCAGAAUCAAAGCAAACAAAACCUCCGUACUCAUGAAGAAGUUUGGCAAUCUCUCGAGUAUCUGUUUGAAUCCCAGUCACAUUACUACAAGCUGAAAAUGAGCCAAGCAAAGGCCUAUUGGCGUAUUUAUACAGCUCAACCUGUUUUCUUAGUGCUUCAAUGUCUAUGAACCCAUUCUCAUCUAAACCAAUCUCAACAACUUCAGCAAGGCUGUGACGCCAAGAAAGCAAGUUUGAGUGGUGCUCGUAAGGGCCAAUAAAAACUACCCAUCGAUACUCAUUCGGUAAGCAAUUUAUUACCAUGUCCCUCAAAAUUGAUGGUACCGUAAUCCCCAUAACUUCUUGUAGCCUUUUAAUAGCAGCCGUGUUGCCUGAGCCACAAAACAGAAUUGCAUCAUCUUGACCGCCUCCUAGGCUUCUUUUAAUGUAGUUUGACGCUUCAUGCACCAUUUUCGUCGUCCUGUGCCCCACGUAACAGUCAGACGUGUGAGUGUUACCUACGCACGAACCAACCAAGAUCAGCUGACAAAUACUAAAACCCUAAUAUAUAUAUAUAUAUAUAUAUUAUACUCGGAAAUGACGCCAUCACUUUUGUUAAUUAAAUCAGAGUAUCACAAUUGAAGAUCAGAAGAAAAAAAACCUUUACCGUAGAAUGGCAGAACAUUGGUGACGAUGAAGUUUUCGAUAUAGUGAAAAGAGCGACCCGAUGCAGUAUGAUCAGCAUAAGUAAGUUUUCUAGUUCCAAAAGGAGAGUCAAAUUCUGCAUCACCACCAGUGAUUUGAGAUCGUAGCCAAGACAGCUUUUUCUCGGUGGAGUCAACCUUUGGCACAUCCAUCUCUAGAGCCCUGAAUGAUUCCGAGCCAUGGAAGAGUUUGCUGGAAACAUAGGAACGGCAUGUUGAUCCUGGUGACUUAUGCCUGUCCCUGGUUGAAGUCUUACUAUCAUUUGCUGCCUUCAAUUUCAGGGCUUCCGUUGUUUCUCUAAACAUGGGUUGCUCAAACUCCAUUUCCCACCUGGAAACAAAGAUUAGUGCCUGUUUUUAUUGUUGUUGUCGCUUAUGACAGGAGAAAGAAUGGAAAAAGUAGUUGUAGAAGAAGAAAAAGAUAAGAAUGAGGGUAAGGAAGGCAGACUUCGUUAUUUAUAUCCUAUUAAAAUACAAAGUAACCUUUUGACACGGUUUCAUUUUUUUAAUUAAUAAAACAAAAAGACAAAGUUUUAGGCGUGAGGGGGGUUUGACUCCGAAACCAUGGCCUCUACACUCCAAUAAGAAAAAUAUUGCUGUCUCAGAAACAAUGGGAUCUCUAAAAAGGAUUGAAAAAAAAAAAAAAAAACCUACAGAAAAUAGUAAGCCUACGUUUGGAAUAUAUUAUUCCUUGGAGUGUAAGAAUUUCCAUAUUUCUCAUUCCUCUCCCUAAAAUUUGAUUAUGGAGUAUCAAAUAGCCCAAGCAAUUGUUAGAAAAACAUUGAACCUUUCCUGGUCUACUUGGUUUGGAACGUGAUGUAUCCAAUCUGCCGUAUUAAUAAGGAGAGCAUUGCUAUUUAGAGGUGUCAAUAAUAUACCCAUACUCACGAGUUAUUCAUUUUAUAAAUUAGAUUACUUAAUUGAUAAAAAGAAUGAGAAUUUUUGUAUCUCAUUAUAAUUUGCACGGAUAGUUAUGAUUUCAAAAGAGUAAAAUGUGUAAAGAAAGCAAAGAAUUUGAUUGCUUUUCAGAAACUUAAUAUGAUUUUGGCAAUAUGCAUGAUAAUUUUAUUAAUGAUUAUUCAUCAAUAAGUAACAUUUAUGAAUUAAAAUUAAAUUUUGAUUUAUUGAAAAAGUAUUAAAAAAAUCAGUUAAAAAAAAUAAAUGAAAGAAUGAAGAAACAAACAAACGGAUCAAAUAAAAAAAAAAUAAAAAGAGAACCAACACAAAAUAAAAGUAGUGAAAUAGAUCUUCAAACCAAUACUCCACCACACUCAAGGCUAUUCAUUUGUAUUUGUGAUGAAGUGGCAUAUUAAAAAUAAAUAAUUUAAUUUAAUUAAGAAUGAUUUAAGAUAAAUAAUAAAAAUUUGAUUACUAAUUGAUAUAAUUUUAACUAUAGAAGGUAAAUAAUACAUACUCUUUAAGGUAAUGUUGUUCUUUCCAAAAUAGUUAAAUAUAAAAAUAAGCCAUUUAUUAUGCAUUUCUUAUCAAUUUGGCACCAAAAAAAUAAAAUAUUUAGUUUGGCACUCUAAUUUUCUUUCUUUCAUCACUUUGUUAUCGGAAACUAGCGUCAUCAGUCAAUUUAUUGACGUGAUAUAAAUAUCUAAUAAGAUAUUAACACAUGCUGAGAAAAUCUAAUCAAUGUCAAAUCAUCAAUAUUACAUCCGAAUUUAAAGAAAAUUUAAAAAAAUUUAAAUAUUUUUUAAAAAAUAUUUAAGCAUUUUAAAAAUUAUUUUAAAAACAAAAACUAAAAUUUUAAAAAUUUUUAAAAAUUAUUAAAACUUAAAAAAUUAAAAAAAUCUCAAAAUUUUAUUAGAAAAAUAAAAAAAUUUUGAAAUUUUCAUAAAAAUGAUAAUUUUAGUAAACAUAAAGUUUUCAUAAAUUUAAAAAAAAAAUCUCUAAAGCUUAAAAAAUUGAAAGUAAAAGAUCUAAAAUUUUUUGAAAAUAUCUAAAAAUUUUAAAAUAAUUGUAAUUCUUAUAAAUUAGGAAAAUUCUUCAUUUUUUUAAUCUUACAAUUUUAAUUUUCUUAUAUAUUUUGUGAUUUUUUACAUUUUUUUAAAUGUUUAUGGAUUUUUAUUAAAAUUUUAAGUUUUUUAUUUUAUAUUUUUCAAAAAAUUUAAUUUUUAGUAAAUUUCUUAGAAUAUUUCAUAUUUUUGAAAUUUUUUUAAUUUUUUCAAAAUUUUUGAAAAUAUUUUAUAAAAUUUUAGAUUUUAAUAAAAAUUAGAUUUUUUGUAAUUUUCAAAUUUUGUCAAAAAAUUCUAGAUUUUUUAGUUUUUGUGAACCUAUUUUUUUUAAUUUUUUAGAAUAUUUUGGAUUUUUUUUGGAUUUUUUGUCAAAAUUUGAGAUUUUAUGAAUUUUUUAAAGUUUUGAUAUUUUUUUAAAUUUUAUGUUCAAAUAAGAUUUCAUAUUUAUUUAAUUUUUCUAAUUUUAAAAAUAUUUUAGCUUUUAAAUUUUGUUGAAUUUUUUUACUAUUGAUGUGGUAAUUGAUGAUGUGGCACUACUAAACUUUUUGAUACAUGUCAGUAUCUUAUUAGAUGUUAAUGCCAUGUUGACAAAUUGAGUAAUUGCUUUAGUACGAGGUAUCAAAGUAAAUGGCGAAAUGAAAGUUAAAGAACCAAAUUGAUAAUUUUGUUUCUUAAAGUACUAAACUGACAGAAAGUGUAUAGUACAUGAAAUAUUUUUAUAUUUAACUUUUCCAAUCAUGAAAAAACCUAAAAGAGACUUGAAAUUGUUAUACAUGUAAUCGAUAAUCAUUCCUUAGUGUUGACCUUUAGAGUUCAAAGGAUGUCUCAUACCCAAAUAAUUUUUGGGUUUUUCCUACAUGUAAUAAUAAUAUUAAUUACCAAAUUACUGCUUAAUUUGAAAAAAAAAUGACAUUAAUAUAAAGAUAAAUGUACAUAAAAGAGAAGUUCUUUGUCCUUAGCUCUUUCCCUAAACAGUUGGAUCUCUAGCUCUACCUGUAAAUCAUUUAACGAAACACAAAUCAAUUGAUUACGUCACAACAUAUAAGUGAUUUAGUUACAAAUUAUGAUUCUUCUCAAACAAUAAAAUGAUGGGUGAUUGUGAUUGGAAUGAAACAAUAAAAAAUUUUCAUCGAUGCCUUUCGUUGCUGUUUCAGACACAGACUUGGCAAUGGUAAUGAUAAAAUGAUUAGUGACUGUGGCCAUGAUUAAAUUUUUAAAAUAAUCUAAUGAUAAGAGAAUAAUAUGCAACAUAUCUUUCAAAUUUGAAAUAGUAAAAAACAAAUCUAAUCAAUUUUAAUCCAAAUAUACAUUUAAUAUUUUUGGUCAAUAUAUUCUUGAAAAAUGAUUAAAUUAAAAAAAAAAAGAAAAAUUCUAGAAUUGACAUUUAUGAAUUCAAGAUUUAUACAAAAUUUUUCAUAUUUGAUAGGUUUUCAUUUUGAAUUUAAAUAAUUUAUCAAAUAGAAUUACUUUAUAAACCCAUUUUAGAGAUAAUAUAUUAUUACAAUUGAGAUUUUUAUAUUUAAAAAAUAUGUUUAUAUUAUUAGGAAAUUUAUUUUUAAUAAAAAUAUAUCUAAAUUAGAUUUUAUUGUUAACAAUUUUAAAAUUAUCCAUGUAGAUAUCCAUAUAAGUUAAUUUUUUGUGGUAAAUUCCUAUGUGUCAAAAAAUGAUAUAUAUAUAUAUAUAGGCAUUUACAUAUCCCAUAAUACUUACAUCUAAAAUUUGAAAGUUUUCGAUAACUAAAUUUUUUUAAAUAUAUUAUUUCUUGAUAAAUAGCCUAAAAUUAAGAAAUGUCUUAUAUGUCGUUAUAGAGAAAUUUUAAGAAUUUUAUCACAUGUCGAAAAGAAAAACCAUCAAUGUAAGCAAACCUUAUCAUGUAACAAUGUAUCCUGUAAUAUAAUAUAUAUUAUAUUUUUUUAAAAGAUUAUUAGUUAUCCAAGUGAUAAAAAUAGUCAUACUUGACACAGACCCCAAGUCUUAAGAUUUCACAAUGUAUAUAAUAAACUUUAAUUUUCCAUGUGUACAUAUACUAACAAAGUAAAAUAACAACAUAAAAUGUCAACCAAUGAUUCUCAUCAUUCAAGCAUAGAUUUAAAUAUCACAUAGAUAUUCCAAGCAUAAAGGGAAAGGUCCAACAUAGAGACAAACCAUAAUGUGUGAGUAUAAAAGACAAAUGAUAUACUCUUAAUAAUAAAUUACAUCAAAAGACCCUAAAAUACCUAUGUUCUCAAUAUGUUUACCAAAUACUAUAGGUCUUAUUCCUGUAGUCCAAGGAUCAACAAUCACGUUGUUAGUCUGAAUGUGUUUGACAACAAUAUUAUAAUUUUUCAUAAAAUCCCUAACUUUAAAAUAUAUUAUCUCCAAAUGUUUAAACCACUAAUGCUCUUGUUGUUCUUAGAAAACAACAUAGUUGACCUAUUAUCCCAAUAAAUCUUUAAAGGUCUGGAGAUGGAAUUAAUAAUACAAAGGCCUGACAUAAAAUUCAUAAGCCAAAUUGCCUAUGUAGUAGCUCUAUCGCAUGCAACAAACUCAACUUGCAUAAUGGAAAAAAAUAAGAGUGUUUGUUUCACAUAUUUCCAAGACAAAGCUCCUACAUCGACAUAAAAAAAUACCUUGAAGUGGACUCCAUGUCAUCCUAACAACUAGUGAAGUUAGAAUUUAUAUACCCUAUUAUCUGAAGAUUGUCCAUUUUUUUGUAUACCAACGUAUGGUUUUUUUGUCUUUUGCAAGUACCUAAUCACCUUCUUAACAGCAACCUAGUGAUUCAUACUAGGAUUUGAAAGAUAUCUCUCAAGAACUCACUCUGCAAAAGCAAUAUCUAGCCUAGUACAAACUUGAGCAUACAUGAGACUCCCAACUGCACUAGAAUAUGGUAUGUUCAUCAUGGAUUCUUUCUCCAAAUCAUUCUUUGGGCAUUGACUAAGAUUAAGUUUAUCACCUUUAACAAUGAGUGCAUUCCUAGCCUUACAACUUUGUAUGUUAAAUUUAUUAAGCGCAUGAUUAAUGUAAGACCUUUGCAAUAGUCCCAACAAAUUUUGAGAUCUAUCUCUAUGAAUUUCAAUCCCAAGAACAAAGGAAGCAUUCCUAAGGUUUUUAUAUCAAAAGUCUUGGAGAAUAGCUACUUAAUUUCAUGUAACAAACCAAUAUCAUUACAAGCCACUAAGUGUCAUCCACAUAUAACACAAGAAAGAUAUAUUUACUCCCCCUAAUUUUAAGGUGUAUGUAUUGAUCAACUUUAUUUUCCUCAAAACCAAGGGAAGUAACUAUCUGAUCAAAUUUUAGAUACCUUUACUUAGAAGCUUAUUUAAGGGCAUAGAUUGACGUUUUAAGUCAACUUACUAAAUGUUCCUUUUCAGAUUCUUGAAAUCUUUUUGGUUGCAUAAUGUAAACCUUUUCUCUAAAAUCACAAUUGAGAAAAGCCGUCUUUACAUCCAUCUAAUAAAGCUUCAAGUUAAAGUGUACUACCAAGGCCAUAACAAUCCUAAAGAAAUUUUUGGAAGACACUGGUAAAAACAUUUUGUUAUAAUCUACUCUUUCCCUCUAAAUAAAUCACUUUGCCACCAAUGUAACUUUAAAUAUCUCAAAUUUUUCUUUAGACCCUUUCUUGGUUUUAUACACCUAUUUACAACCAAUGGAUUUAUACUCUUUUGGCUGUUUAACAAGCUCCUAAGCACCAUUUUGAGCCAUAAAAUUUAUCUCAUUUUUUAUUGCAUCCAUCCAUACAUUAAAUUACAAAUGCUAAUAGUUUCACCAAAAGUCACAAGGUUAACAACAUGACUAAUGUCAUAGUCACUCUCUCAAUGAUAAAUUACAUAAUCAUUAGAGAUGUCGGAUCUUCUUUGUUUAAAAGAUCUCCUAAAAGGUAUUUCAAUAUCAUUCUUUCAAACUUGAAGUACAUCAGUAGGAUGAAGGUUUAUGUCCUAUUGCCUUGAUCUCUUCUUUCAAUGGCCACUAGCAUAAUAUGGCACUGUAUUAUAGGUAAAGUUAUGAAGAUAUGUCUAACAGAUUCACGGUUAUCCACAGCCUCUAUCACACUCUUAUCAACAACAUGUAGUUUAAGAAACUUUGCCACAUGUGACUCUACAAACUUAGUUCCACGUAUAGGACAAUAAAACUUAUAUCCCUUGAAACGAUCUAGAUACUCUAAAGAAAAGCAAUGAGUACUCCUAGGUUCAAUCUUUUUCUCAAAAGGUUAUAGAUUCUAACUUCUGCAAGAAAUCCACAAACUUUAAAAUGAUUCAAUUGGGGUUUCAUACCAAUCUACAAUUCAGAAGUUGUUUUAGGAACAAAUUUACUAGGUACUUUAUUAAGUAUAUACAAGACGGUUUUAAUACCUUCACCUCAAAAGGACUUAAGAAGAUUGGUCCUACAUAUAAGCUCUUUAUCAUACCCUUAAGGGUGUGAUUUUGCCUUUCGACCACACCAUUAUGUUCAAGACUACCAAGCAUAGCAUAUCAAGAAAAAUCUGACAUUCUUGUAAGUAUUUAGAAAAUGGUCUCAUAUGUUAUCUAAUUUCGCCAUAUCUACCAUCAUACUCACCACCUUGGAGCUAAUGACUUUGAUAACUUUCCCUAAUUCUUUCUCUACCUCAGUUUAAAAAUUUUAAAUUUUUAAAAGCAUUUCAAUUUUCAUCAAUUAGGUCAAGAUACCCAUAGCGAAAAUAGUCAUAAAUAAAAGUAACAAAAUAUAUGUUACCACAAAAGAUAGAUAUAAGAGGUCCACUAUUAUUAGUGUACAUAAUUUUCAAAAGGUCAAAAUUGCAAAUUGCAUCAUUUUUCUUAGUCGUAGUUAGUAUAUAUUUUAUACAAUCAACACAAGUGUCUAACUUUUCAAAACCAAGGGAAGGUAAAGUACUAUUUUUUUAUCAAUUUUUGCACUUUUUCACUAGAAAUGUGACCCAACUUUUUACGCCACAACAAAAAAGACUUUUCUUUAGUUAGAGAUUUUUAAGAUACUGUCUUUUCCACAUUAUUGCAACUAUAUUAAUUAUCAUAUGCCAAGCACGGUUUGUAUAAAUUGUCAAUUAGUUUAAAUUCAUCAAUAAUGAAUUCUCUUUAGUCAAAGAUUUUUUAGUCACUAUUUUUUCAACAUUAUUGCAACUAUAUUAAUUAUUGUAGGCUAAGUUUAUAUAAAUUGUCAAUUAGUUUAAAUUCACCAACAACAUUUGAAUUUUAAAACAAGUCAACUUUUUCAUAUCCAAUGCCAAAAUAAUAACCAUGUUUGUCCAAAAUAAAAACUAAAAUGAAAUUCCUCUGAAAUGAAGGUGUAUGAAAAACAUUUUGCAAAAUAAGCUCAAAGUCAGAUUCUAAAUUUAAGCCUAUUGUUCCUACAUAAUUAAUGGCUACUUCAGUAUUGUUUCAAACUCUAUGUGUUGCCUUUUUCUCACUUAGCUUUCAUUUGUUUUUGAAUCCUAGCAAAGGUAACAACAAUAUGAAUAGUUAAACCACUAUCAACCUACUAGGAAUUUGGUAAGCCACUGACAAAUUAGGAUAUAAAACAAACGACAGCUAGUGAGUUCCCUUCUUAUUUAUUUUUUUUCUUUAACCAAGCUUGAUAUUUAGGGUAUUCAUGUUUCAUAUGACAUUUUUUUUAUAGGAAAAACACUUGAUAUCUUUCUUAAUGAUAGCUUUAAGCCCUCUUACCUUUGUAGUCUGACCACUACCUUAUCCCUUGUUUUCUUGAUCUUUCUUGUGAGCAUUAGGAACAAAUUUCCUAGAUUUCUCAUAAUUUUUUUUGUAAUUAUAUUUGGAGUAUGUAGCAAAAAAAAACACUUUCACCCAUUUCUUUCUACAGUUUUUCUUCCUUAGAGACAAACUUUUAAAUAAGAUCAUUAACACUUCAAAACCUCAUUCAUAGCAUUAUAGACAGUUUUGAUCUGAGUGAACUCCAAAAGUAAGGCAUUGAGGGCGUGAUGAACAAUGAAUUUAUCAAGAAUGUCAAUUUCAUGAGAAGUCAAUUUGGUUUGAAUGUGGACCAUUCUCAUGAUGAAAUCUCUAGCACUCUUAACACUAUCAUACCUUACUACUUGUAAGCUCACUCAUAAGGUUCUUAGCUUUACACUAUAAUGGAUUUUUGGUAAUUUAUUGCCUUCAGCAGGUAAAGAUCCCUUAAGCAAUUUUUGUGGUAUCCAACUCACUCAAAAGGUAUUCAAAAAUAGAAAUAUUAAUGACAUAUAGACGUAUAUGAUUUGUCUUUUCCCAUUUGGGAAAAUAUUCCUUUUCUUUAGCAAUGCUUUCAUUAGUAAAAUUAGCAGGCUUUGAAAAAUGUAAGGCUACGUCUAUCUCAUUUAUAACUAAAGCAAAAUUCAAAUCUUCAUUCCAUUUUUUAUAAUUAGACCCAUGAAGAACUUUAAUAGUUGCUUAUUGUUAUUGAUAAUAAAAGUCAACAUUCAAGAUAAAAAUGCAACAUUAGUAAAUGGCAAUAUCAUAAAAUAUAUAGCAACAGUUCAUGAUGUACUAACAAUUAUUGAAAGGUCUUGGUACAUCACCACAAACUCUUUUUUGGAUAAAGAAUGUAAUAUACGAGUGGGAACUUUUCGGAUAACGCUAAUAUGAAAAUGUGCUAGCUUUUAAAAAUUAUAUCCCCUUCGGACAGAUAGAUUUUCUAGAUUGGUAAAACUUCAACCAUGAUGAUUUAUAUUCCAAAACAAAUUACCUUAUACAUUAACCCCCUUUAGGCAGUCAAUUGCAUAAAAUAAUUUAAUAACCAUCCCGUAACCAUAGAAUGAUAAAAUAUUACAUUAAUUUCAAUAAGUGAGCCAUUUUGACAACCAAAUAUUGAUAUCAAUUAAUGAAGAUUUUUUCAAAUAAAAAAAUUUCAUUAAUUGCUCAAAACUCUCAGUUUACAAACUCAACCAUAAUGUGUGCAAUGGACUAUCCCAACUAAGAAACUAACCCUAAAUGUAUCUAAUUAGGUAUUAUAAGCAGUGUACAUUAAAUUUAAACUAGUGUCUUGAAUUUUUUUUAAAAUCAAUUUGUAAUUACUAAAUCAACUACGCACUUAAGAGCACAUAAAUAUCAAGGCCUAUUUAGGAAGAAUACCUAUUAUCAUUAGACUCUCAUCAUACCAAAAUAUCACAAAAUAAAAUAAUAAAUAAUAUGUAUAACAUAUAGUAAUUUCUGAGCAAUGCAUGAAUAUCAAACAAAUAUUUCAUGCAGUUUAAAAAUUUUAAAAAAAAUUAGAAAUAAAAUUCCAAGUUUGCCAAAACUAACUAAAGAAAAAAUGGUGCUAGACGAGACGACACGUGCCCCAUGUGCCACCCACCAUGCAUGGAUUUUGUUCAACAUGGGGAAUGGUUUUUUUUAACCUCUAAAUGAGUUGACUCAAUGCGACUGGAAUAAUUCUUUACCUAUUCUAGUCUGUUCGUAUUUUUCCACCAUUUUUUAUGCAUUUUCUUGGUAAUUUCAACAAAUUGAAGCGCCCAAAAAUAAAACAAAUUUUCUAUCAAACCCUUGAUAAAAAAGUAUAAAACAAUGACAAAAAUAAGAUCAAUUGGUUAAAAUUUUUCAAAUUACAUAAAUAUAUAUUAGACCGCUUUUUGUUUUUUUUGUGUUUGGCUAAUCUAAAACAAUAUGAAAUAAAAACGCUUUGAUUUAACUUUAUAACACAUGAGAAACAUGAUUCCAGAAUCAAUUUUUAAUUAAACACAUAAAAUGUUUGAUGUUUUAAUCAAAACAAGAAUUUAGAUUAAAACCUAAACCCAAAAAUUCUCAACCUUGAUUUCUCUUUCGAUAUAAGGAAUUAGAAAAUGAUCAUUAUAUAAUUUUAAUCUUUUUUUAGAGAGGAACUAAAAUCUUAAAUCAAUUUCAAAAAAUAAAGAUCAAAAUUUAAAAUUUUGACAAUAAUAUAAUUUCACACUAAAUAUGUUGUUUGUUCAAAAAUCAAUUACAAAUCAUGAUUUUAGGGGCCAAAUAUCACAUAAUGAUAGCUCUGAUACCACACGUAAACAUUAACCCAAGUUCAUUGUUUGAUAAUUAGAACAUCGUAAAUAAAUAAAGAGCUUUGUCAUACUUAUUUGGGUGGUCAUGACGAAUAUAUGAAGCAAAACAAUACUUAAAGUGCCUAGGUCUUCCUCUUCACUAUUCUCUUAUUAGUGACACUCAAUGAGCAGUAACUGUAACUCGUAUAAAAGUAAAAAAGAAAAGGUUAUCUGAACCUAUUUUUAUUGAAAACCCUUAAAGCCUCCUCAUCAAACACUUAGUAGACUAAAGGUCUACAAAACCUCUAAACCAGAUUGAUCUAGUAAGCUAUGUAAGUCUUACAUUUAAGUGAUCACAUUAAAUUAUUUAAACUCUCAAGCUUAUCUCGUAUUAAGAGUAAACACAUCAAUCAAUUUUAUUAAAUUAUUAAAACCAACUAUUAAUGGUAGCCCACUUAUGAACAAUUCUUGCUCUAUAUCCUAAUAAGACAUCAACAGAGAGUUUAUAAAGUAAAGAUGAAGACUAUAUAAAGAGCAAUGGUGGUGGAAAGAUUAUUUUCUAAAUAAAAAUUUGGAUGUUGAAGCGGUCUUCAUAAAAGAUGACUCUCUAUGUUAAAGUGGUUCCACUAAAAUAGUAUACUAAGGUCAUAUUUGAUACAUAUGAUUAUUAACAGAAUAUGAAGAAUAUUUGUAAGGUUUGCAAUGAGGAUUAAUAUCCUCUUGGUAUAGGAUUAUUCAACCCUCUCAAAGUAAAGAGGAUAAUUUUUAAAUUUAUAGAUUAAACUUGCAGGUUCAAUUAUACCCUUAAAAAUUACUUUAAUAAUUUAAAUUGUAUAAACUUUGAAUAAGGAUAAUUUUGACAAAUAAAUAAAUUAUCCUAUCCUAAUCUUUACAUAUAGCAAACACAAAAUAAGAUGACAUUAUUUAAUCUAAUUCUAUUUAUAAUAUCAUUGUACCCUAUCAAGUUAUAAUCUUAUGUACUAAACAUGGCAUAAGAUUAUUAUAUCUAUGUAUAUUGAUAUUAUUUGUUAUUUUAUAACUAAGCUUUUGCGAUUCACAUAUUGUGAGGGGUUUCUAUGAUAACUUUUUAAAAGGCUAUUUGGCAUGAUUGCAAAUACAUGACAUCAUACAUGCUAAUAAAGGAUUAGGAUAGAGCGGUAUAUUCGAAUUCACCCAUAAGGUACUGUGUGAAUUGAAUUCCUNNNNNNNNNNNNNNNNNNNNNNNNNNNNNNNNNNNNNNNNNNNNNNNNNNNNNNNNNNNNNNNNNNNNNNNNNNNNNNNNNNNNNNNNNNNNNNNNNNNNNNNNNNNNNNNNNNNNNNNNNNNNNNNNNNNNNNNNNNNNNNNNNNNNNNNNNNNNNNNNNNNNNNNNNNNNNNNNNNNNNNNNNNNNNNNNNNNNNNNNNNNNNNNNNNNNNNNNNNNNNNNNNNNNNNNNNNNNNNNNNNNNNNNNNNNNNNNNNNNNNNNNNNNNNNNNNNNNNNNNNNNNNNNNNNNNNNNNNNNNNNNNNNNNNNNNNNNNNNNNNNNNNNNNNNNNNNNNNNNNNNNNNNNNNNNNNNNNNNNNNNNNNNNNNNNNNNNNNNNNNNNNNNNNNNNNNNNNNNNNNNNNNNNNNNNNNNNNNNNNNNNNNNNNNNNNNNNNNNNNNNNNNNNNNNNNNNNNNNNNNNNNNNNNNNNNNNNNNNNNNNNNNNNNNNNNNNNNNNNNNNNNNNNNNNNNNNNNNNNNNNNNNNNNNNNNNNNNNNNNNNNNNNNNNNNNNNNNNNNNNNNNNNNNNNNNNNNNNNNNNNNNNNNNNNNNNNNNNNNNNNNNNNNNNNNNNNNNNNNNNNNNNNNNNNNNNNNNNNNNNNNNNNNNNNNNNNNNNNNNNNNNNNNNNNNNNNNNNNNNNNNNNNNNNNNNNNNNNNNNNNNNNNNNNNNNNNNNNNNNNNNNNNNNNNNNNNNNNNNNNNNNNNNNNNNNNNNNNNNNNNNNNNNNNNNNNNNNNNNNNNNNNNNNNNNNNNNNNNNNNNNNNNNNNNNNNNNNNNNNNNNNNNNNNNNNNNNNNNNNNNNNNNNNNNNNNNNNNNNNNNNNNNNNNNNNNNNNNNNNNNNNNNNNNNNNNNNNNNNNNNNNNNNNNNNNNNNNNNNNNNNNNNNNNNNNNNNNNNNNNNNNNNNNNNNNNNNNNNNNNNNNNNNNNNNNNNNNNNNNNNNNNNNNNNNNNNNNNNNNGUUUACAAACUCAACCAUAAUGUGUGCAAUGGAUUAUCCAACUAAGAAACUAAGCCUAAAUGUAUCUAAUUAGGUCUUAUAAGCAGUGUACAUUACAUUUAAACUAGUGUCUUGAAUUUUUUUUAAAAUCAAUUUUUAAUUACUAAAUCAACUACGCAUUUAAAAGCAUAUAAAUAUCAAGGCCUAUUUAGGAAGAAUACCUACUAUCAUUAGACUCUCAUCAUACUAAAAUAUUUUAUCACAAAAUAAAAUAAUAAAAUAAUAUGUAUAACAUAUAGUAAUUACUAAGCAAUACAUGAAUGUUAAACAAAUAUUUUCAUGCAGUUUAAAAAUUUUACAAAAAAUUAGAAAUAAAAUUCCAAGUUUGCCAAAAGAAACUAUAGCAAAAAUGGUGCUAGACAAGCCCGCACGUGCCACAUGUGCCACCCACCAUGCAUGGAUUUUGUUCAAGAAAGGGAAUGGUUUUCUUUAACCUCUAAAUGAGUUGACUCAAUGCGACUGAAACAAUUCUUUACCUAUUCUAGUCUGUUCGUAUUUUUCCACCAUUUUUUAUGCAUUUUUUUCAGUAAUUUCAACAAAUUGAAAUGCCCAAAAAUAAAACAAUUUUUAUAUCAAAACCUUGAUAAAAAAUUAUAAAAAAAUGACAAAAAUAAGAUCAAUUGGUUAAAAUUUUUCAAAUUACAUAAACAUAUAUUAGACCCUUUUUGUUUUCUUCGUGUUUGGCCAAUCUAAAACAAUAUGAAAUUAAAUGCUUUGAUUUAACUUUAUAACACAUGAGAAACAUGAUUCAAGAAUCAAUUUUCAAUUAAACACAUAAAAUGUUUGAUGUUUUAAUCAAAACAAGAAUUUAGAUUAAAACUUAAACCUAAAAAUUUUCAACCUUGAUUUCUCUAUCGAUAUAAGGAAUUAGAAAAUGAUCUUUAUACAAUUUUAAUCCUUUUUAGAGAGGAACUAAAAUCCUAAAUCAAUUUCGAAAAAUAAAGAUCAAAAUUUAACAUUUUGAAAACAACAUAAUUUCACACUAAAUAUGUUGUUUGUUCAAAAAUCAAUUACAAAUCAGGAUUUUAGGGGCCUAAUAUCACAUAAUGAUAGCUCUGAUACCACACGUAAACAUUAACCCAAGUUCAUUGUUUGAUAAUUGGAACAUCGUAAACAAAUAAAGAGAUUUGUCAUACUUAUUUUGGUGGUCAUGACGAAUAUAUCGAAGCGAAAUAAUACUUAAAGUGCCUAGGUCUUCCGCUUCACUCUUCUCUUAUUGGAGACACUCAAUAAGCAGUAACCGUAACUCGUAUAAAGUAAAAAAAAAAAAAAGGUUAUCUGAACCUAUUUUAAUUGAAAACCCUUGAAGCCUCCUCAUCAAACACUUACUAGACUAAAGGUCUACCAAACCUCCAAACCAGAUUGAUCUAGUAAGAUGUGUAAGUCUUACAUUUAAGUGAUCACAUUAAAUUAUUUAAACUCUCAUGCUUAUCUUGUAUUAAGAGUAAACACAUCAACCAAUUUUAUUAAAUUAUUAAAACUAACUAUUAAUGGCAGCCCACUUAUAAAUUAUUCUCGCUCUAUAUCCUAAUAAGACAUCAACGGGGAGUGUAUAAAGCAAAAAUGAAGACUAUAUAAAGAGCAAUGGUGGUGGAAAGAUUGUUUUAUAAACAAAAAUUUGGAUGUUGAAGCGGUCUUCAUAAGAGACGACUUUCUGUGUUAGAGUGGUUCCAUUAAAAUAGUAUACUAAGGUCAUAUUUGAUACAUAUAAUUAUUAAUAGAAUAUGAAGAAUAUUCGUAAGGUUUGCAAUGAGGAUUAAUAUCCUCUUAGUAUAGGAUUAUUCAAUCAUCUCAAAGUAGAAAGGAUAAUUUUUAAAUUUAUAGAUUAAACUUAUAGGUUCAAUUAUACCCUUAAAAAUUAUUUUAAUAAUUUAAAUUGUAUAAACUUUGAAUAAGGAUAAUUUUGACAAAUAAAUAAAUUAUCCUAUCAUAAUCUUUACAUAUAGCAAACACAAAAUAAGAUGACAUUAUUUAAUCUAAUUUUAUUUAUAAUAUCAUUGUACCCUAUCAAGUUAUAAUCUUAUGUACCAAACAUGGCAUAAGAUUAUUAUAUCUAUGUAUAUUGAUGUUAUUUGUUAUUUUAUAACUAAGCUUUUGCGAUUCACAUAUUGUGAGGGGUUUCUGUGACAACUUUUUGAAAGGCUCUUUGGUGUGAUUGCAUAUACAUGACAUCAUACAUGCUAAUAAAGGAUUAGGAUAGAGCGGUAUAUUCGAAUUCACCCAUAAGGUACUGUGUGAAUUGAAUUCCUCAAUUCUUUUUAUUCAUGACCUAGAUUGGUGUAUUAUAUUACAGAAUGGUGGUGUAUCACAAUGAUUUUAUGUUGUUGUACAGCAAUUAUUGUUCAUUUCUUCAAACAUCAGUAAAUAAGAUUGAAGAACAGGUGCAUUGUCCUAAAACCAAAUGAACUUGAGUAAAAACCAUCAGCUCUAGGGAUUUUCGAAGAACUUGGAUAUCAUUUUGUUUAUUGAGAACCAAAUGAUGGAAAGAAAUAGGAAAGUAGUAUCGAAAUUAGGAAUAACCUUUAGUUUACAAUAGAUAAGUUGGUUGAUUUUGUCUGUGUACACUCGGGUAUACUAUUUUUUAUUUAUGUUAAUGAGCCUCACACAAAUCUUCAAUUUGGCUGACUUUAGGACUGAUAUUAGGUUCUGGAAGUCUAGAAUGCCUACUGAAUAUAUAGGGUGAAGAAAUCUAAAUAUUCAAUACUGAAAUUAUUUUAUACCUUGAUCUUAGCAUAUGAUAUUGGAAGUAGUUUACUAAAAUUGGGUAAGUUAUAUUGAGACAUUGAUAUUUCAAUUGGCUAUAUGUUAUACCUUUUUCAUAUUUUUUUAUCCUAAAGAUUGAAGGAAAAAUUCUAUUUUUAGAUGAGAUGUUAUGAUUUGCAAGAGUGAAUUAAAAUGGAAUUUGUAUUAAUGGAUAAAUUAUUACUUUAAGUAUUAUAUAUUGUUGGAAAGCUUGUUGAAUUUACUUUACAAUGAAAUAAACGUAAGUCGAAUCAAAGUUUUCUAUUAAGAGUUGUGUAAUUUUUAUUUAAUGAUAUGUAGACUGCCUGACAACGGUAGCAAUGAGGAAUUACAAAAUUUCUCUGAAUUUUUAUACAAUGAAUUACGAAUUGAGCCAUACAUGUUUAAAAAGGUUAUUGAGUUUAUAUUCCAAUGAAACAAGCAGAAUUGAAUUUGGAGUCUUUUAUGAAUAAAGAUAUCAUUUUGAUUACAAUACAUACAUGUUGUCUGGUAGUAGCAUAUGAUAUGGAUUGCAAAAAUUAUUACAAUUAAUCUACAAUAAAUUAUGAGGUGGGCCAUAUAUGUUGUCAUAACAUCUAGAUCCAGAGAUCCAUUGCUAGAUAUUAUUUUUAAGAGUCGUCACCAAUCUUUUUUAUCUAGGUGCGAUUGGUCACCUAGAGAAUUUAUCCUUUUAAAGAACACCUAAGCCUAAGGGUCCCUAAAAGAAUAGUUUUAGGUCUACUAAUCGGUACAGGGUUCGAGAGUACAGUUACGUGUGAGGAAGGUUAUAGCACCUUCACAACGCCCAUCUAAAGAUGGUACCAGCUUAAUUUUAUGUUAUCCAAUAAGCUUUAAAAAUUUACCAAGUAAUUAAUUAUUAGAAAUUAUUCUUAAUUGACUCUAAUACUUUUAGUAGAAAAUUGAAAAAAUUCCCUCACCUAAAGAGUAUGCAAGGAAACUACUGUUUCACUUGCAGAGGCUCUAUCGUCGGAUUAUUUAACAUUAAAGAAAAUUCAAAAAAAAAAAGAAAUAAAAUGAGAAAAAAAAGAAUAACAAUUCAACUUUAGAUAUAAAUCCUUUUCUCUUAAAAAACUCAUUGCUUUUGUACAAAAAAAUUGAUACUUUUAAAUUUUCCUCAAAAGCAUUUGAGAGUUUCUAUUUUUAAAAAAAUUGAUACUUUCAACUUUUUCUUAAAACGUUUUUUUUAAGAAAAAUUGAUACUUUCAACUUUUCCUCAAAAUGUUUUUCAGAAACUUUAAUUUCGAGGAAAAUUGAUAUUUUUAACUUUUUCUCAAAAAUAUUUUUUUUAAUUUAUUUUUAAGGAAAAUUAAUACUUUUACCUUUUCCUUUAAAAUAUUUUUUAGAAAAUUAUUUUCAAGGAAAAUUGAUACUUUCAACUUUUCCGUGAAAAUAUUUUUUAAAAAAUUUAUUUUUAAGAAAAAUUGAUACUUUCAACUUUUCCUCAAAAAUAUUUUUUUAGAAUUUUAUUUUAAGAAAAUCAUUAAAAAUAAAAUAAAAUAAAAAUCAGAAUAAAAAUAAAAUAAGGAAUACCAAAUUAUUCUAAUCUAAUCAAUAAAUAAUAAUAAUAAUAAUAAUAAUAAUAUAAUAAUAAUAACAAUAAUAAUAAUACUAAUAAAAGAAAUAAUAAUAAUAAUAAAUAAGAAAAAAAACUUUUGGAAUGGCUCGGCUCGGCUUAAGAGAUAAAAGUGAUUUAAACGUGAGGCUCAGCUGGAAACAGCUCGGUUCGGCUGGGGUCCAGGCAGAGACGUGGGUCGCUAAUCAGGUUGGUGCUCGGGUUGAGUCAUCCAAUUUCAAAACACGUGGAUCUUUUAAGAAUAGUAAGGCUAAAACGACAUCGUUUUCAGUCGGUAUAAAAGGCUUCUACUUCUGUUUCUUCGUAGAUUGUUUCCUUUCUCCUCUCUCUCUUCUUUUUUUUUCUCUUCCUUCUCUCUAAAUAGAAUCUAGAUUUCGGUUGAAUGUCUAUCGAAAUCUGGAAAAACAGGUCAAAAACUUUAAAGUUGGCCCAAAAUCUCGCCAAAAAAGUUGAAUCUUACCGAAAAAUUUCACCCGAUUCUGAAAAGUUUUAGAAAAUUUCAAAAAAAAAACUCAAAAAUUCUAAAAACUUUUUCGCAAAUUCCUAACGUUGUUUCUAACGCACCAGAACUUUUUUUAACCUCUGUUUCCCCUUUAUGUAUUUUUCGAUCUUUUUAUGUGCUCUCUGUGGACCUAUUUAUAAGGAUUGAUCAGAAGAGUUUCUGAUCAAUCCCAACGCCUUUUGGGAUUUUGAUUCAAUCUUUGAAUCCAAUCCCAAUUCUGCCAACCUCCAAUUUCAUGACCAAAUCCAAUUUUUUUUUAUCCUAAUCCUAGCAGAAAAUCAAUCAAGAUAAAAUAAAAAAAACACAUAUUAAUAGUUAAUAGAUAAAUAAUAAAAAAAUAUAUUAAUAAAUAAUAAUAAUAAUAAAAAAAUAAAAUACCCAUUUGGACCAAGCCCAAUUGAUCCGGGCCCGGAUCAAAUUGGGUGUCUACAUAUGUUUGAAAAGGUUUUUGAGUCUACUUUUCGAUUAAAUAAGCGAAAUUAAAUUUGGAGUCUUUUAUGAAUAAAUAUAUAAUUUUUAUUAAAAGAUAUAUAUACUAUCUGAUAGCAACAUAUGACAUAGAUUGUAAAAGUUAUUACAAUUAAUCUACACGAAAUUACGAGGUGGGCUAUAUAUAGUUAAAAAAUUUAUCGAGUUUAAUUUCUAAUGUACUAAAAAGAUUUUAAUUUUGAGUUGGAUAUCUUAAGAUAGGGUCAUUUUAGUGAAAGUAGCAUAGGCUACUAAAAUUAGUUAGUUAACCCUUAUAUAACUUAGUUGCUUUUAGUAUUAAUGGUCUUAAAUUGGAUUAAUUAAUUUUUGUUAUAUUGAAAUGAUUUUGAAUAGCCCAUUAAUUAUUUUGGGGGAAAAACUAAGUGGUGGAACCAAAAGGAAAUAAGUAGAAUCUUACACAUUUUGCUUAUUUUGAAACUUAUGUAUAUAUGUAUGUUUCUAAAUAAAUGAGAUUUAUUUCUUUAUUUUCGAUAUAAGAAAAUAGGCUGAGCAUAUGAUUAUUUUACGUUUUGCUAUAUAAAUGACGGAUCAUGUUUAUAAAUGAAAUGAGAAAUUGAUUUAUGCUUAAUGAAUGAUUUUAUAAUAGCUACAUAUUUUACAUCUUGAGAAGUGGGAUUAUCGAUACCAAAACUAGCUAUACUACCCUAGCUAACGGAUUAUAGUAGUUAAUAUAGUCACGAUCAAAUGGCACUACUAGUGGGUCAUAGUAGUUAGUGUAAAGGUUUGGCCAGCAGAUUAUAAUAGUUAGUAAAGAUCAUAAGGAUAAAAUUAUCAAUAUUUCCAAUGUUACGGAUUAUAGUAGUGAUCAUUGUUAAUGAUAAAGUAAUGAUAAUGAUGAUUUAUGAUGAUGAUGAUUUUAAAGAUUGAUUCAUGAUUUGAUUUAAUUACGAUAUUUGAAUGGUAACAUAUUUUGGAAUGAUUUAUGAAUUGAUCUAUUUUGAUUUUGAUUUAUGAUCUACAAAAUAUUUGACAUAAUGUUGAUUUUUGAAAUAUUUUGAUGUAUUAUUUGACAAAUGUUUCGAAUUAUCUAUAUGAUAUGUAUGAAACCGAUGUUUGAUCCGAUAAAGUGCAUGAUCCUAUACUAGAUUAGCUGGAAUUUGUUCAUUCUCUUUUUACCUUUUCUUUACACAUGAGUAACUGAUAAGUAUAUUUAGUCUUACUAAAAGCUAGAAGAUCAAUUUGGAAAUAUUACUUGGACAUUAGAAAUAUUGUUAGCUAGUGAGAUCUUAUGAAAUUAUUUUAUAUGUUUUUUAUUAAUUAACCUUUGAUAUAUAGAGAUGUAUCACUAGUUAGAUUAAAUUUAUGAAUUUUACUUGGCAAAUUAUUUUUAUUAAAGAAUUUUAAAAUGAUUAAGAGAAAAAAUUUCGUAUUACUUUAAAGUUUUAUUUGAAGAUAAUAUAACGGUGUUACAUCUUAGUUUUGGGGCAUGACACCAUUAUUAGACAAGUCUUGACCAGAUUGGAUUACGUAUCAGCCAAUUUGUCAGGCAUUGCAACAGAUUUCAGGUAAUUGGAGAGUCUGCAAACAUGACAGGCUUGAGCUAGUUUAAUUUCUGCUUUUGCUUUGUGAGACUAUUCCAAUGAAGUGAGGAAAGAUAGAUAAAUUUGAUUAUGAACUCGAAUCCAUUUUUGAUAGUAUAGUUAGACUCUGAAAGGGAGGAGGUUAAGAUUCAAAUCUUCGUGAAACCUCCUUCGAGAUGGAAACUUGGGAAGGAGAGCAGCGACUCGUUUGGCACUUUUCAAAUAUGAUGCAUACUGAAGGAUGACAGGAGUAUCAUUCUUUCCUGCAUCAAUUUUGUCACGGUCCAAGCUUAUUGUCUGAAAAGCACUAGCCAAAGGCAAGACAUGGAUACCGUGACUAUUCUCCUUUCCUACCAGGUCCUUAAGCGCCUUCUUCUUGAAAGUCCAGCUGCCAGUUCUCAGGUUGAAAUGGUAUAGAGGAAGAAAUCGUUGGCCAUAGAUGGCUACGAACUCCAACGCCGCAAGAAUGUAUUCAAACUCCUCAUUUGACAUGUAGUAAGGAAAGCUGACUCUCGUCCAUCCAGGUUUUGCUCCUAUGUAGCCCUGCAAUCAAACUUUGCAAUUGGCAUUAGAUAAGUUGAAUUAUAUUUUACUUCUCUUCAUUUGGUCAAAAAAGAAAAAAAGGAAAAUUUUGUACUGAUACCCUUUUAAUAGCUUCUCUGAACGCAAGGGAUCGAGUCUGAUCAAUAUCAAGCAAACUGUGGCCAUAAGGUCCAGCACAAGCACACCCACCUCGAGCUUGGAUGCCAAACAGAUCAUUUAGGAUGGUUGCAACAAAAGGGCCAUGGAGAGGUUUAUCCCUCUUGUUCCCAGUCUCUCCCCACAUGAAAAGUCCCCUACCCUUUUCCUUUGCCUCGUCAACAUUGUUACCAUCGUUGGUUGUGGAGUAGAUGAGGAAAGACAGUAUGGCUUGUCUCUGGGUCUCGGUGCUUGCAUUUCCUAAAACCCUUAUGUUUUGGUUUGGGAGAAGCCUCUCCAAUGCUUGAUUUAUGUACGACUUCUCCUGCUUUGCAAUCACUUCAUAACCAAUAUAUUCUUUUACCCAAAAAGUCAAUGCUGCUCUAACAAUCUGAAUUAUUUGAGGAGUCCCUCCAUUUUCCCUUUCUUCUAUGUCACUUGCAUAUAUUGUGUCCUGCAAAAUAAAUACCCCAUUUCGCCACAUUUUAAAUGCAUACCUGCUUCCCUAAAUGCUGGGGAAUGAAUCUGAUUAAUAUCAUGAUAACUUAUCAUUUUCUAGAGUAUUUUUCUACUGGCACUGUCGUGCAUUCAGAAAUUUGGUUGGAAAUCUCUUUUCUUCUAAAAUUGUAAUUAAAAUAAAAUUUUUUUAGAGACACUUAUCAUUCACUAGUCUAUGUCUAAACCCGCUCCAUCUGAAUCAGGAAUUUAUUUCUAAACUCCAAAAAGCCUGACAGCUACCUAAUCAUUCUUUAUGUCGUCCAGCCGAAGAAAGAAACCGAAAUUUCUUACAAAAUGGGAUAUAUAAGCAAGAAUAAGAAAAAGAUAAAGAAAAUACAAAUUUCCAUUUUAUGGUAGAGAGGUGAACAAAAAAUAAAAUCUUUCAUCUAUUAAAUUGAAUUAAUCUGAACACAAAAAUAUAAUAAAAAUCUCUUCAUUUAUUAUCAAUUAAUUUUAAAUUUGAGAGUGAUUACCUGUUCAUUGAAGCCAUUGACAUAAUUAACAGUUCCACCUCCGCAAGUUGAUGGAGGAGAAGAUCCCAGCCGGUAGAGAGCCUUGCUCAUUAAAAGGAUGCCGGGCGUUCCCGGGCCACCUAGAAACUUAUGUGGGCUUAGGAAAAUGGCAUCAUAUCCAUCAAUCUCCCCUGACCUCAUAUCAAUCUCCACAUAAGGACCACUAUCCACAAAAACAAAAUGAUAAGCACAAUCACAAAUCAACUUCUCAUUGCUUUAUAACAUUAACAUAAUACAUAAACUUGGCUAAUAAUUAAUUGUGAGAUCUGUUAUUAAAAUAUUAAACUUUUAAUUUUAACAAUCAAAGUUUAAAUUCUGACAACCUCGAAUAUAAAAGCUUGACAACAAAAAAUGAAAAUUCUUACUGUGUACCUUGCUGCAAAAUCAAAGCAAACAAAACCUCCGUACUCAUGAAGAAGUUUGGCAAUCUCUCGAGUAUCUGUUUGAAUCCCAGUCACAUUACUACAAGCUGAAAAGGAGCCAAGCAAAGGCCUAUUGGCGUAUUUAUAGAGCUCAAGCUGUUUUCUUAGUGCUUCAAUGUCUAUGAACCCAUUCUCAUCUAAACCAAUCUCAACAACUUCAGCAAGGCUUUGACGCCAAGAAAGCAAGUUGGAGUGUUGCUCGUAAGGGCCAAUAAAAACUACCCAUCGAUACUCAUUAGGUAAGCAAUUUAUUACCAUGUCCCUCAAAAUUGAUGGUACCGUAAUCCCCAUAACUUCUUGUAGCCUUUUAAUAGCAGCCGUGGUGCCUGAGCCACAAAACAGAAUUGCAUCAUCUUGACCGCCACCUAGGCUUCUUUUAAUGUAGUUUGACGCUUCAUGCACCAUUUUCGUCGUCCUGUGCCCCACGUAACUGUCAGACGUGUGAGUGUUACCUACGCACGAACCAACCAAGAUCAGCUGACAAAUACUAAAACACAAAAAAUAUAUCUAUAUAUAUAUAUAUAUAUAUUAUACUCGGAAAUGACGCCAUCACUUUUGUUAAUUAAAUCAGAGUAUCACAAUUGAAGAUCAGAAGAAAAAAAACCUUUACCGUAGAAUGGCAGAACAUUGGUGACGAUGAAGUUUUCGAUAUAGUGAAAAGAGCGACCCGAUGCAGUAUGAUCAGCAUAAGUAAGUUUUCUAGUUCCAAAAGGAGAGUCAAAUUCUGCAUCACCACCAGUGAUUUGAGAUCGUAGCCAAGACAGCUUUUUCUCGGUGGAGUCAACCUUUGGCACAUCCAUCUCUAGAGCCCUGAAUGAUUCCGAGCCAUGGAAGAGUUUGCUGGAAACAUAGGAACGGUAUGUUGAUCCUGGUGACUUAUGCCUGUCCCUGGUUGAAGUCUUACUAUCAUUUGCUGCCUUCAAUUGCAGGGCUUCCGUUGUUUCUCUAAACAUGGGUUGCUCAAACUCCAUUUCCCACCUGGAAACAAAGAUUAGUGGCUGUUUUUAUUGUUGUUGUAGCUUAUGACAGGAGAAAGAAUGGAAAAAGUAGUUGUAGAAGAAGAAAAAGAUAAGAAUGAGGGUAAGGAAGGCAGACUUGGUUAUUUAUAUACUAUUAAAAUACAAAGUAACCUUUUGACACGGUUUCAUCUUUUUAAUUAAUAAAACAAAAAGACAAAGUUUUAGGCGUGAGGGGGGUUUGACUCCGAAACCAUGGCCUCUACACACCAAUAAGAAAAAUAUUGCUGUCUCAGAAACAAUGGGAUCUCUAAAAAGGAUUGAAAAAAAAAAAAAAACCUACAGAAAAUAGUAAGCCUAUGUUUGGAAUAUGUUAUUCCUUGGAGUGUAAGAAUUUCCAUAUUUCUCAUUCCUCUCCCUAAAAUUUGAUUAUGGAGUAUCAAACAGCCCAAGCAAUUGUUAGAAAAACAUUGAACCUUUCCUGAUCUACUUGGUUUGGAACGUGAUGUAUCCAAUCUGCCGUAUUAAUAAAGAGAGCAUUGCUAUUUGGAGGUGUCAAUAAUAUACCCGUACUCACGAGUUAUUCAUUUUAUAAAUUAGAUUACUUAAUUGAUAAAAAGAAUGACAAUUUUGGUAUCUCAUUAUAAUUUUCACGGAUAGCUAUGAUUCCGAAAGAGUAAAAUGUGUAAAGAAAGCAAAGAAUUUGAUUGCUUUUAAACUUAGUAUGAUUUUGGCAAUAUGCAUGAUAAUUUUAUUAAUGAUUAUUCAUCAUUAAGUAACAUUUAUGAAUUAAAAUUAAAUUUUGAUUUAUUGAAAAAGUAUAAAAAAAUCAGUUAUAAAAAAUAAAUGAAAGAAUGAAGAAACAAACAAACGGAUCAAAUAAAAAAAAUAAAAAGAGAACCAAUACAAAAUAAAAGUAGUGAAAUAGAUCUUCAAACCAAUACUCCACCACAAUAAAGGCUAUUCAUUUGUAUUUAUGAUGAAGUGGCAUAUUAAAAAUAAAUAAUUUAAUUUAAUUAAGAAUGAUUUAAGAUAAAUAAUAAACAUUUGAUUACUAAUUGAUAUAAUUUUAACUAUAGAAGGUAAAUAAUACGUUCUCUUUAAGGUAAUGUUGUUCUUCCAAAAUAGUUAAAUAUAAAAAUACCCAUUUAUUAUGCAUUUUUUUUAUCAUUUGCACCCAAAAAAAUAAAAUAUUAGUUUGGCACUCUAAUUUCAUUAUUUCAUCACUUUGUUAUCGGAGACUAGCGUCGUCAGUCAAGUUUAUUGAUGUGGUAUAUAACACUCGAUAAGGAUAUUAACAUAUGCUAAGAAAAGCUAAUCAAUGUCAAAUCAUCAAAAUUACAUCUGAAUUUAAAGAAAAUUCUAAAAAAAAUUUAAAAUAUUUUUUAAAAAAUAUUUAGCUUCUAAAAAAAUUAAUUUUAAAACCAAAACUAAAAUUUUUAAAAAUUUUUAAAAAAUUACCAAAACUUAAAAAAUUCAGAAAAAUCUCAAAAUUUUAUUAGGAAAAUAAAAAACUUUUCAAAUUUUCAUAAAAAUCAUAAUUUUAGUAAACAUAAAAGUUUUCAUAAAUUUAAAAAAAAUCUCUAAAGCUUAAAAAAAUUGAAAGUAAAAGAUCUAAAUUUUUUUGAAAAUAUCUAAAAAUUUUAAAAUAAUUGUAAUUCUUGUAAAUUAGGAAAAUUCUUCAUUUUUUUAAUCUUACAAUUUUAAUUUUCUUAUAUAUUUUGUGAUUUUUUACAUUUUUUUAAAUGUUUAUGGAUUUUUAUUAAAAUUUUAAGUUUUUUAUUUUAUAUUUUUCAAAAAAAUAUUAACUUUUUGUAAAUUUCUUAGAAUAUUUCAUAUUUUUGAAUUUUUUUAAUUUACUCAAAAUUUUUGAAAAUAUUUUAUAAAAUUUUAGAUUUUAAUAAAAAUUUGAUAUUUUUUUAAUUUUCAAAUUUUGUCAAAAAAGUCCAGAUUUUUUAUUAUUUGUAAACCUCUUUUUUAAUUUUUUAGAAUUUUUUUGGUUAUUUUUUAAUUUUUUAUCAAAAUUUUGAGAUUUUAUGAAUUUUUUUAUGUUUUGAUAUUUUUUAAAAUUUUAUGUUCAAAUAAGAUUUCAUAUUUAUUUAAUUUUUUUAAUUUUUAAAAAUAUUUUAGACUUUUAAAUUUUGUUGAAAUUUUUUACUAUUAAUGUGGUAAUUGAUGAUGUGGCACUACUGAACUUUUUGAUACAUGUCAGUAUCUUAUUAGAUGUUAAUGCCAUGUUGACAAAUUGAGUAAUUGCUUUAGUACGAGGUAUCAAAGUAAAUGGCGAAAUGAAAGUUAAAAAUCCAAAUUGAUAAUUUUGUUUUUGAAAGUACUAAACUGACAGAAAGUGUAUAGUACAUGAAAUAUUUUUAUGUUUAACUUUUCCAAUCAUGAAAAGACCUAAAAGGAGACUUGAAAUUGUUAUACAUGUAAUCGAUAAUCAUUCCUUAGUGUUGACCUUUAGAGUUCAAAGGAUGUCUCAAACCCAAAUAAUUUUUGGGUUUUUCCUACAUGUAAUAAUAAUAUUAAUUACCAAAUUAUUGCUUAAUUUGAAAAAAAAAUGACAUUAAUAUAAAGAUAAAUGUACAUAAAAGAGCAGUAACUGUAACUCGUAUAAAAGUAAAAAAAAAAAAAAAAGGUUAUCUGAACCUAUUUUAAUUGAAAACCCUUGAAGCCUCCUCAUCAAACACUUACUAGACUAAAGGUUUACAAAACCUCUAAACCAGAUUGAUCUAGUAAGAUGUGUAAGUUUUACAUUUAAGUGAUCACAUUAAAUUAUUUAAACUCUCAUGCUUAUCUUGUAUUAAGAGUAAACACAUCAACCAAUUUUAUUAAAUUAUUAAAACUAACUAUUAAUGGCAGCCCACUUAUAAAUUAUUCUCGCUCUAUAUCCUAAUAAGACAUCAACGGGGAGUGUAUAAAGCAAAAAUGAAGACUAUAUAAAGAGCAAUGGUGGUGGAAAGAUUGUUUUAUAAACAAAAAAUUUGGAUGUUGAAGCGGUCUUCAUAAAAGACGACUUUCUGUGUUAGAGUGGUUCCAUUAAAAUAGUAUACUAAGGUCAUAUUUGAUACAUAUAAUUAUUAAUAGAAUAUGAAGAAUAUUCGUAGGUUUGCAAUGAGGAUUAAUAUCCUCUUGUAUAGGAUUAUUCAAUCAUCUCAAGUAGAAAGGAUAAUUUUUAAAUUUAUAGAUUAAACUUACUGGUUCAAUUAAUACUCUUAAAAAUUACUUUAAUAAUUUAAAUUGUAUAAACUUUGAAUAAGGAAUUUUUGACCAAUAAAUAAAAUUAUCCUAUCCUAAUCUUUACAUAUAGCAAACACAAAACAAAAUGACAUUAUUUAAUCUAAUUUUAUUUAUAAUAUCAUUGUACCCUAUCAAGUUAUAAUCUUAUGUACCAAACAUGGCAUAAGAUUAUAUAUCUAUGUAUAUUGAUAUUAUUUGUUAUUUUAUAACUAAGCUUUUGCGAUUCACAUAUUGUGAGGGGUUUCUGUGACAACUUUUUAAAAGGCUAUUUGGUGUGAUUGCAUAUACAUGACAUCAUACAUGCUAAUAAAGGAUUAGGAUAGAGCGGUAUAUUCGAAUUCACCCAUAAGGUACUGUGUGAAUUGAAUUCCUUAAUUCUUUUUAUUCGUGAUCUAGAUUGGUGGAUUAUAUUACAAAAUGGUGGUGUAGCAUAAUGAUUUUAUGUUGUUUUAUAGCUAUUAUUGUUCAUUUCUUCAAACAUCAGUAAAUAAGAUUGAAGAACAGGUGCAUUGUCCUAAAACCAAAUGAACUUGAGUAAAAACCAUCAGCUCUAGGGAUUUUCGAAGAACUUGGAUGUCACUUUGUUUAUUGAAAACCAAAUGAUGGAAAGAAAUAGGAAGGUAGUAUCGAAAUUAGGAAUAACCUUUAGUUUACAAUAGAUAAGUUAGUUGAUUUUGUCUGUGUACACUCGGGUAUACUAUUUUUUAUUUAUGUUAAUGAGCCUCACACAAAUCUUCAAUUUGGUUGACUUUAGGACUAAUAUUAGGUUCUGGAAGUCUAGAAUGACUAUUGAAUAUAUAAGGUGAAGAAAUCUAAAUAUUCAAUAUUGAAAUUAUUUUAUACCUUGAUCUUAGCAUAUGAUAUUGGAAGUAGUUUACUAAAAUUAGGUAAGUUAUAUUGAGACAUUGAUAUUUCAAUUGGCUAUAUGCUAUGCCUUUUUCAUAUUUUUUUUAUCCUAAAGAUUGAAGGAGAAAUUUUAUUUUUGGAUGAGAUGCUAUGAUUCGCAAAAGUGAAUUAAAAUGGAAUUUGUAUUAAUGGAUAAAUUAUUACUUUAAGUAUUAUAUAUUGUUGGAAAGCUUGCUGAAUCUAUUUUUCAAUGAAACAAACGUAAGUUGAAUCAGAGUUUUCUAUUAAGAGUUAUCUAAUUUUUACUUAAUGAUAUGUAGACUGCUUGACAGCAGUAGCAAUAAGGAAUUACAAAAUUUCUCUGAAUUUUUAUACAAUGAAUUACGAAUUGAGCCAUACAUGUUUAAAAAGGUUAUUGAGUUUAUAUUCCAAUGAAACAAGCAGAAUUGAAUUUGGAGUCUUUUAUGAAUAAAUAUAUCAUUUUGAUUACAAUAUAUACAUGCUAUCUAGUAGUAGCAUAUGACAUGGAUUGCGAAAAUUAUUACAAUUAAUCUACAAUAAAUUACGAGGUGGGCCAUAUAUGUUGUCAUAACAUCUAGAUCCGGGGAUCCUUUGCUAGAUAUUGUCUUUAGGAGUGAUCAUUAAUCUUUUUUAUCUAUGAGCGAUUGGUCAUCUAGGGAAUUUAUCCUUUUAAAGAACACCUAAGCCUAAGGGUCCCUAAAAGAAUAGUUUCAUGUUUACUAAUCAGAACAGGGUUCAAGAGUACGGUUAUGUGUGAAAAAGGUUAUAACACCCUUACAACGCCCAUCGAAAGAUGGUACCAGCUUAAUUUUAUGUUAUCCAAUAAGUUUUAAAAAUUUACUAGAUAAUUAAUUAUUAGAAAUUAUUCUCAAUUGACUAUAAAACUUUUAGUAAAAAAUUAAAAAAAAAUUUUCACCCAAAGAGUAUGCAAGGAAACUACUGUUUCACUUGCAGAAGCUCUAUCGUCAGAUUAUUUAACAUUAAAGAAAAUUCAAAAAGGAAAAGAAAUAAAAUGGGAAAAAAGAAUAAUAAUUCAACUUUAGAUAUAAAUCUUUCUCUUCAAAAACUUAUUACUUUUGUAUAAGAAAAAUUGAUACUUUUAACUUUUCCUCAAAAGAAUUUGAGAGUUUCUAUUUUAAGGACAAUUGAUACUUUCAACUUUUCCUUAAAACAUUUUUUUUAAGAAAAAUUGGUACUUCUAACUUUUUCCCAAAAUAUUUUUCUGAAACUUUAAUUUUGAGGAAAAUUGAUACUUUCAACUUUUCUUCAAAAAUAUUUUUUUUAAAUUUAUUUUUAAGAAAAAUUGAUACUUUUACCUUUUCCUCAAAAAUAAUUUUUAGAAAAUUAUUUUCAAGGAAAAUUGAUACUUUCAACUUUUUCUCAAAAAUAUUUUUUUAGAAUUUUAUUUUAAGAAAAUCAUUAAAAAAUAAAAAUAAAAAUAAAAUAAGGAAUACAAAAUUAUUCUAAUCUAAUCAAUAAAUAAUAAUAAUAAUAAUAAAUAAGAAAAAAAAAAUUUUGGAACAGCUCGGCUUGAGAGAUAGAAGUGGUUUAAACGUGAGGCUCAGCUAGAAACGGCUCGAUUGGGCUGGGCUAGGGUCUAGGUAAAAAUGCGGGUCGCUAAUCGGGUUGGUGCUCGGGUUGAGUCACCCGAUUUCAAAACGUGCUGAUCUUCUGGGAAUAGUAAGGCUAAAACGACAUCGUUUUCAGUCGGUAUAAAAGGCUUCAACCUCUGUUUUUUUACAGAUUGCUUCCUUCUUCCUCUUUUUUUCUUUUUUUUUUCUCCUCCUUCUCUCUAAAUAGAAUCCAAAUCUCAGUUGAAUAUCUGCUGAAAUCUGAAAAAAAACAGGUCAAAAACUUCGAAGUUGGCCGAAAAUCUCGCCAAAAAAGUUGAAUCUUACCGAAAAAUUUCACUGGAUUCUGAAAAAUUUUUAGAAAUUUUUAGAAAAAAAAUUCUAAAAUUCUAAAAUCUUUCCCAUAAAUUCCUAACACUGUUUCUAACGCACCAGAACUUUUUUUAACCUCUGUUUCCUCUCUGUGUAUUUUUUGAUCUUUUUGUGUGCUCUCUGUGGACCUAUUUAUAAGGAUUGAUCAGAAGAGUUUCUGAUCAAUCCCAACUCCUUCUGGGAUUUUGAUUCAAUCUUUGAAUCCAAUCCCAAUCCUGCUAACCUCUAAUUUCACGGCCAAAUCCAAUUUUUUUAUCCUAAUCCUAUCCGAAAAUCAAUCAAGAUAAAACAAAAAAAACACAUAUAAUAAUUAAUAGAUAAAUAAUAAAAAAAUUAUAUUAAUAAAUAAUAAUAAAAAAUAAAUAAAAUGGGCUUACCCAUUUUGACUAGGCCCAAUUGAUCCAAGCCUGGACCAAAUUGGGUGUCUACAUAUUUUUGAAAAGGUUUUUGAGUCUAUUUUUCGAUUAAACAAGCGAAAUUGAAUUUGGAGUCUUUUAUGAAUAAAUAUAUAAUUUUUAUUAGAAGAUAUGCAUACUAUCUGAUAGCAACAUAUAACAUAGAUUGCAAAAGUUAUUACAAUUAAUCUACACGAAAUUAUGAUGUGGGCCAUAUAUAGUUAAAAAAUUUAUCGAGUUUAAUUUCUAAUGUACUAAAAAGAUUUUAAUUUUGAGUUGGAUAUCUUAAGAUAGGGUCAUUUUAGUGAAAGUAGCAUAGGCUACCAAAAUUAGUUAGUUAACCCUUAUAUAACUUAGUUGUUUUUAGUAUUAAUGGUCUUAAAGUGGAUUGAUUAAUUUCUGUUAUAUUGAAAUGAUUUUGAAUAGCCUAUUAAUUAUUUUGAGGGAAAAACUAAGUGGUGGAACCAAAAGGAAAUAAGUAGAAUCUUACACACUUUGCUUAUUUUGAAACUUAUGUAUAUAUGUAUGUUUCUAAAUAAAUGAGAUUUAUUUCUUUAUUUUCGAUAUAAGAAAAUAGGUUGAGCAUAUGAUUAUUUUAUGUUUUGCUAUAUAAAUGAUGGAUCAUGUUUAUAAAUGAAAUGAGAAAUUGAUUUAUGUUUAAUGAAUGAUUUUAUAAUAGCUACAUAUUUUACAUCUUGAGAAAUGGGAUUAUCGAUACCAGAACUAGUUAUACUACCCUAGCUAACGGAUUAUAAAAGUUAAUAUAGUCACGAUCAAAUGGCACUACUAGUGGGUCAUAGUAGUUAGUGUAAAGGUUUGGCCAGCAGGCUAUAAUAGUUAGUAAAGAUCAUAAGGAUAAAAUUAUCGAUAUUGCCAAUGUUACGGAUUAUAGUAGUAAUCAUAGUUAAUGAUAAACUAAUGAUAAUGAUGAUUUAUGAUAAUGAUGAUUUUAAAGAUUGAUUCAUGAUUUGAUUUAAUUACGAUAUUUGAAUGGUAACAUAUUUUGUAAUGAUUUAUGAAUUGAUCUAUUUUGAUUUUGAUUUAUGAUCUACAAAAUAUUUGACAUAAUGUUGAUUUUUGAAAUAUUUUGAUGUAUUAUUUGACAAAUGUUUCGAAUUAUCUAUAUGAUAUGUAUGAAACCGAUGUUUGAUCCGAUAAAAUGUAUGAUCUUAUACUAGAUUAGCUGUAAUUUGUUCAUUCUCUUUCUACCUUUUCUUUACACAUGAGUAACUGAUAAGUAUAUUUAGUCUUAUUAAAAGCUAGAAGAUCAAAUUUGGAAAUAUUACUUGGACAUUAGAAAUAUUGUUAGCUAGUGAGAUCUUAUGAAAUUAUUUUAUAUGUUUUUUAUUAAUUAACCUUUGGAUAUAUAGAGAUGUAUCACUAGUUAGAUUAAAUUUAUGAAUUUUACUUGGCAAAUUAUUUUUAUUAAAGAAUUUUAAAAUGAUUAAGAGAAAAAAUUUCGUAUUACUUUAAAGUUUUAUUUGAAGAUAAUAUAACGGUGUUACAUCUUAGUUUUGGGGCAUGACACCAUUAUUAGACAAGUCUUGACCAGAUUGGAUUACGUAUCAGCCAAUUUGUCAGGCAUUGCAACAGAUUUCAGGUAAUUGGAGAGUCUGCUAACAUGACAGGCUUGAGCUAGUUUAAUUUCUGCUUUUGCUUUGUGAGAAUAUUCCAAUGAAGUGAGGAAAGAUAGAUAAAUUUGAUUAUGAACUCGAAUCCAUUUUUGAUAGUAUAGUUAGACUCUGAAAGGGAGGAGGUUAAGAUUUAAAUCUUCGUGAAACCUCCUUCGAGAUGGAAACUUGGGAAGGAGAGCAGCGACUCGUUUGGCACUUUUCAAAUAUGAUGCAUACUGAAGGAUGACAGGAGUAUCAUUCUUUCC
This 33568-nucleotide long non-coding RNA is filed under the name Durio zibethinus. RNAcentral's name for it is "long non-coding RNA (DZIB_LNC001102)". The record is from RNAcentral. Lineage: Eukaryota; Viridiplantae; Streptophyta; Magnoliopsida; Malvales; Malvaceae.